RNAcentral lists this long non-coding RNA (220 nucleotides) under Capsella rubella. Its description in RNAcentral is "long non-coding RNA (CRUB_LNC001902)". Lineage: Eukaryota; Viridiplantae; Streptophyta; Magnoliopsida; Brassicales; Brassicaceae. The record is from RNAcentral.
UAAAGCAAUAUACAAUUCUUAAAACGAGUGGUUAUUUAGCAAAUUACGUUAACCCCUUUAGCAACCAACAGAAGAAAACAAAAACGUUAUAUUAAAAAAAACAAAGAAAUCGAUCAUUGAUCGAUUCAUUAGUCGAGAAGCAGAUCGAACUUGUGGGCUUUAUGCACACACGUACAAUGACUUUAUUCUAUAUGUAUUAAUAUUUGUACCUCUACUUUGC